CCUACGGGGGGCUGCAGUGAGGAAUAUUGGUCAAUGGUCGGGAGACUGAACCAGCCAAGCCGCGUGAGGGAGGAAGGUACAGAGUAUCGUAAACCUCUUUUGUCAGGGAACAAAGACGGGGACGCGUCCCCGGAUGAGUGUACCUGAAGAAAAAGCAUCGGCUAACUCCGUGCCAGCAGCCGCGUUAAUACGGAGGAUGCGAGCGUUAUCCGGAUUUAUUGGGUUUAAAGGGUGCGCGGGCGGUCUGUUAAGUCAGCGGUCAAAGCCCGGGGCUCAACCCCGGCCGGCCGUUGAAACUGGCAGUCUGGAGUUGGAGAGAAGUACGCGGAAUGCGCGGUGUAGCGGUGAAAUGCAUAGAUAUCGCGCAGAACUCCGAUUGCGAAGGCAGCGUACCGGCUCCACACUGACGCUGAGGCACGAAAGCGUGGGUAUCGAACAGGAUUAGAUACCCCAGUAGUC
RNAcentral lists this ribosomal RNA (459 nucleotides) under uncultured bacterium. RNAcentral's name for it is "partial 16S ribosomal RNA". It matches the Rfam family "Bacterial small subunit ribosomal RNA", at positions 338 to 795 of the family's 1533-position model. The record is from RNAcentral.